Molecule: long non-coding RNA, 2555 nt
Organism: Centrocercus urophasianus (Greater sage-grouse)
Lineage: Eukaryota; Metazoa; Chordata; Aves; Galliformes; Phasianidae
Exons: 4
Source: RefSeq, a predicted model, not a curated record
UAACCAAUGGGAUUAGAGGGAGAGGAGGGCACCGCAUUCCCAGGGGGUCAGCAGGGAAGGGACCGAAGGCUCAAAACCUGCCUUGAAGGCUGGCUACGGUGGUGUGAAACAAGGAGACAUGGCAGGAGGAACCCAUAGGCAAGGAGAAGGAGGGAUACGCACCCAGGCACUGAUCCUGUCUGCUGAGAUAACCCAGCUGGUGUCCAGAAGAAUGGAGAGCAGCUUCAUGCAGGAGACCAGAGAGGGCCAUCUCAGCAGCAGUGGAGCCUUGGCCAUGCGAGGCAGCGCCAUGCAGGUUUUACAAGCCAGUGUUCUGGUGCUGGCAGAGUGAGAGGAUUAAAGCACAUCAUCAUUUUCAUUUUACUCUCUGAAUCAUGUCAGUGAGAAACCAUCUAUUGCUGGAUCUAAAACUCACUCUGCCUCACUCUGCCCCUGCCCUGGAAACCUUACAGGAACAGGAAUGAAUGAUGGCACAGCCUGAAUACCCAGCUUUCCUCUUUGAUUAGCUGGAAGCAGAAGAGUCCAGUGUUUUCAGAGGCAGGACAGGGGAGGGUGGAGGUCCCUGUGUCCUGCCAGCUCAGAGCAGACUUUGUUGCCUUGCUCGUGCUCAGAAGCAUAGCUUGGAUCAAUCUGUGCCCUUCACUGCUGGAAUGAAGCCAAGUGCUGCAGCUGCCCUGCGUCCUGCAACUCACAGACAACUCAUCCACGUGCUUUGUGCACCACCAAACAUGUUCUGCAUGAGUCUGAGCAACCUGUUUCAGCCUGUUCUCCCUCCUACCUGCGAACAAGCCAAGCUCUUGCAUCCAGAGAGCUGAAGAUCUGUUGGAAAGCUGAGCAUUAGUUGGAAAUUGGACAACAGAUGAUGCUCUCCAUGCUGUGCCCUCAUCACUUGUGCCACUGCUGAGCUGAGCUUCCUGAGGAGCAGUACUCACCAAGGCUGGCUGGAGCCAUGUCCUUCAUAUGAUAGAGCCAGGAACAAUGCUUGGAGACAUCCUCAGCUUUGCAAAGCAACCCUAUGUCCUCUGGGCAAGAGGGAUGGGAAUGCAGCUCCAGGGCUCCUACUCAGCAAUCCCUGUUGGUACCCAACAGGACUGGUGCUGCAGCCACAAACCGCUCUGUUUGCAGCAGUGCUUGUGUUGCUGCAAGUCCCAGGAAAGCUCCAGCACUUGGCUGAGCCCCAGGGACAAGGUCCCUGUAUGGGAACAUGGAACCCUCACUGCUCCUUGAUAAAGUCAGCACUGAGUGGGCUUCUCUCUGAUGCCGCUGGGAAAGAAAGGGAAAACAAAACAAAGCAAUGUUGAACUCAGCAGAUGGAGGAAGCUGAGCUUUCUGACUGUUUCUAUGGAGCCCCUCCCAGCACUGGUUUGGAGUGGGUCUGAGCUCCAUCCCUUCCCAGAGGGGUGCCUCUUCCCAUCCCCCUGUAGGACCCACUGUUCUGAUAAUAGGUUGGUGCCACACCACCAGGCAGCCUGCUUAUCUGGCUACCCAGCAAACGAUUUGGAAGAAAAAUCCAUUUUUGACUCAACCAAAUAAAACAUUUUUCAUUUGUUCUUUUUCUUCUCUCUCUCUCUCUCUUUAUAAAAUGUUCUGCGUGAAAUGUUGCCUGAUCAUCCUGCACCUCUCUCAGUUCUGCUCUCAGCUAUCUGUGGGUAGAAGUGGAGGGCAGGAGGUGAUGAUAAGUGACGAAGCUAGAGAGAUGAUUAAAAUGCAGGAGGCAACUUCACCAAACUCAGUCGUAAAAUGAGAUUGUUUUUUCCCCAGAUGAAGCAUUUUGGAGGAUCCAGCCCUUGUCUGUGAUCAGAUUCAGAUGGUGAGGAUCAACCCAUCAUGGGUUGCUGCUCUCUGAGAGUACCCCCAUGUGAGACUGACACCUGCACAGGCAGACAUGGCAUUCCCACUCUGCAGUCCUUGUUUUGCUGCUCUGUGCCAUUCAGGUUUUUCAGAAAUCCAUAGGUGCUGUAACUAUGCAGCUCAAGGCUACCAGGGGCUUCAGCUCUCUUACACAGGAACUUGGGCUUUAGGCCAGUUCUAUCAUUUCUCCAGGAACGAAAAGUUAGAUAUGCUUGAAUUAACAAAAUUCCAAGGCUGUUCUUCCAUCUUUCUACAUUCUUCGUGUUCUAAUCGACCAUUUGGAAAUCCUUUACUCAGAAGGGGAAAAUAAGGAUAGGAGACAUAACACUGAGGGAGAAAGGUGUAUAAACCCUUCCUCUCUACAACUGCAAAAUAGCAAUUGGACUGAUAGAUCUCAUUUUAAAUGCAAACACAGAUUUCUUCCCCAGUCGGCUAAAGAAUCAAAGGACAAACAGUGAAGCCAAAUUUGUAUUGCUUCUGUGACUAUCUUGCAUUUUGCCUCCCGCAUUUUAAUUUUCUCUCUGGCUUCAUCUGCUAAACUGAUGCUGAAAUGUGUUUGGCCUCAUGGUGAUUAUCUUUGCACCACAUCACAGAGAAACAUCAGUCAUUUCCUCUUCUUUGACCUAUUAAACAAUUCUUUCUAGCAUAUUGCUGACUUUGAUCAGAUUGAAAGAAUAUAGUCAACAAGCCUUUUUAAGCUUCCA